RNAcentral lists this transfer RNA (56 nucleotides) under Zootermopsis nevadensis. Lineage: Eukaryota; Metazoa; Arthropoda; Insecta; Blattodea; Termopsidae. The record is from Rfam by way of RNAcentral.
GUCUAGCGGUUAGAACGCUGGCCUUGUAAGCCUGGGGUCCCGGGUUCAGUUCCCGG